GGAGGCUGGCGGGCGGACGAGGCCCUCGCCAACCCGGCCAGGUCCGGAAGGAAGCAACCGUAACGAGCCGGCCUCGGGUCGUUCGUCCAGUCUCCCGC
Molecule: signal recognition particle RNA, 98 nt
Filed under: Alphaproteobacteria bacterium
Lineage: Bacteria; Pseudomonadati; Pseudomonadota; Alphaproteobacteria
Description: signal recognition particle sRNA small type
Rfam family: Bacterial small signal recognition particle RNA
About the family: The signal recognition particle (SRP) is a universally conserved ribonucleoprotein involved in the co-translational targeting of proteins to membranes. Archaeal SRP consists of a 7S RNA and homologues of the eukaryotic SRP19 and SRP54 proteins.
Source: RNAcentral